CAGCCGCCACGGUAAUACGUAUGUCACAAGCGUUAUCCGGAUUUAUUGGGCGUAAAGCGCGUCUAGGUGGUUAUGUAAGUCUGAUGUGAAAAUGCAGGGCUCAACUCUGUAUUGCGUUGGAAACUGUGUAACUAGAGUACUGGAGAGGUAAGCGGAACUACAAGUGUAGAGGUGAAAUUCGUAGAUAUUUGUAGGAAUGCCGAUGGGGAAGCCAGCUUACUGGACAGAUACUGACGCUGAAGCGCGAAAGCGUGGGUAGCAAACAGGAUUAGAUACCCCCGUAGUCCCUGUCUCUUAUACA
RNAcentral lists this ribosomal RNA (301 nucleotides) under uncultured bacterium. Its description in RNAcentral is "partial 16S ribosomal RNA". It matches the Rfam family "Bacterial small subunit ribosomal RNA", at positions 509 to 808 of the family's 1533-position model. The record is from RNAcentral.